GCGCUUAUUUCAGCAGCACAUAUACUAAAAUUAGAAUGAUACAGAGAAGAUUAGCAUGGUCCCUGCACAGGGAUGACAUGCACAUUUUUGAAAAAAUUAGAAGAGAA
Chlorocebus sabaeus (green monkey) is the source of this 107-nucleotide small nuclear RNA. NCBI's taxonomy places the organism in Eukaryota, Metazoa, Chordata, Mammalia, Primates, Cercopithecidae. The record is from Ensembl.